UCACUACAUAUCUUUCUUUUUUAAUAAUGGUAUAGACUUUCAAAGCAUGCGUGAGCGACUACUAUUUUAUUUUCAUUAUUGGUUUGCUUCUUUUACUUUGGUAUAGUUUUCUACUUAUUCUUGUUCUUUAUAACGUGACAUGGACUAGUGAAGCUCCUCAAUACUUGGCUUUUGUAGGUUUUCAUAUUUCAACGUUGAUUUUUU
RNAcentral lists this long non-coding RNA (204 nucleotides) under Lathyrus oleraceus (garden pea). RNAcentral describes it as "Pisum sativum (pea) long non-coding RNA (PSAT_LNC019463)". Lineage: Eukaryota; Viridiplantae; Streptophyta; Magnoliopsida; Fabales; Fabaceae. The record is from RNAcentral.